Molecule: transfer RNA, 66 nt
Filed under: Neobisnius villosulus
Lineage: Eukaryota; Metazoa; Arthropoda; Insecta; Coleoptera; Staphylinidae
Description: tRNA-Leu
Rfam family: tRNA
About the family: Transfer RNA (tRNA) molecules are approximately 80 nucleotides in length. Their secondary structure includes four short double-helical elements and three loops (D, anti-codon, and T loops).
Source: RNAcentral
UCUAAUAUGGCAGAGUAGUGCGAUGGAUUUAAAUCCCAUUUAUAAAGUUUAGCCCUUUUUUUAGAU